GCCUAGCCAUAAAUCCCAAUGCGCUACAUUCACCAAGCCAUUCGCCUGGGAACUACGAGCACAAACGCUUAAAACCCUAAGGACUUGGCGGUGUUCCAAACCCUCCUAGAGGAGCCUGUUCUAUAAUCGAUAACCCACGAUAUACCCGACCUCUCCUCGCAUAUCAGCCUACAUACCGCCGUCUCCAGCUCGCCCUUUACUGAGGGUUUAACAGCGAGCAUAAUAGCUUAAGUCUUCGCUAACAAGACAGGUCAAGGUAUAGCUAAUGGAGAGGAAGAAAUGGGCUACAUUUUCUAAGAUAGAAUAUUAUUUUAACGAAAAGAGGUGUGAAAUCUACCUCUGGAAGGCGGAUUUAGCAGUAAAAAGAGACUAUAAAGCUCUCUUUAAGACGGCCCUGGGACACGUACAUACCGCCCGUCACCCUCCUCAA
This 430-nucleotide ribosomal RNA is filed under the name Trogon melanocephalus. Its description in RNAcentral is "partial 12S ribosomal RNA". It matches the Rfam family "Bacterial small subunit ribosomal RNA", at positions 794 to 1409 of the family's 1533-position model. The record is from RNAcentral. RNAcentral also lists the same sequence under 1 other name. Lineage: Eukaryota; Metazoa; Chordata; Aves; Trogoniformes; Trogonidae.